GGCGAACGCUGGCGGCGUGCUUAACACAUGCAAGUCGAACGGAAAGGCCCUGCUUUUGUGGGGUGCUCGAGUGGCGAACGGGUGAGUAACACGUGAGUAACCUGCCCUUGACUUUGGGAUAACUUCAGGAAACUGGGGCUAAUACCGGAUAGGAGCUCCUGCUGCAUGGUGGGGGUUGGAAAGUUUCGGCGGUUGGGGAUGGACUCGCGGCUUAUCAGCUUGUUGGUGGGGUAGUGGUUUACCAAGGCUUUGACGGGUAGCCGGCCUGAGAGGGUGACCGGCCACAUUGGGACUGAGAUACGGCCCAGACUCCUACGGGAGGCAGCAGUGGGGAAUAUUGCACAAUGGGCGGAAGCCUGAUGCAGCAACGCCGCGUGCGGGAUGACGGCCUUCGGGUUGUAAACCGCUUUCGCCUGUGACGAAGCGUGAGUGACGGUAAUGGGUAAAGAAGCACCGGCUAACUACGUG
RNAcentral lists this ribosomal RNA (468 nucleotides) under uncultured bacterium. Its description in RNAcentral is "partial 16S ribosomal RNA". It matches the Rfam family "Bacterial small subunit ribosomal RNA", at positions 28 to 507 of the family's 1533-position model. The record is from RNAcentral.